AGAAGGAGCAGCUGUUGAAAGAGGAGAGAUAUUGAAACUGAAGUUUUGGUGAUAAAAUUGGAUUGAGAGAGAGGCCACUGAUGGAUUAAGGACCCUGGGAUCAUGACCUGAGCUGAAAGCAGAUGCUUAACCCACCGACCCAACCAGGCACCCUUCAAUGUUGAAUUUCUUGAAUAAGGUAUUUGUAUUUACCUGAAUGGAAUAGCUGCAUUGUAUGGGCUCUUCUGGGUCUUCUGCUGCCUGAGGCCAGGAAAGGAAGAGGCCCCUGGUAGAACAGCAGCGCCCUGGGGAAGCCAAGGUCUUGGCAGCAAAG
Molecule: long non-coding RNA, 313 nt
Organism: Ailuropoda melanoleuca (giant panda)
Lineage: Eukaryota; Metazoa; Chordata; Mammalia; Carnivora; Ursidae
Exons: 4
Source: RefSeq, a predicted model, not a curated record